Long non-coding RNA from Gallus gallus (chicken), 3601 nucleotides. Lineage: Eukaryota; Metazoa; Chordata; Aves; Galliformes; Phasianidae. The record is from Ensembl.
CUGCAGGGCAGUCCGUCGCGGAUGCGGCCGAUGAUCCCCGCGGAGGGAUCGACGCGGCAGUACAGAGCGCCGCCCGUGGCCGCCACCGCCACCAUCCAACUGGACGGGGAGAUCGGGUACAGCCCGCACAGCACGCGGUUCUGCAACGCAAUGCAAUGCAAUGCAAUGCAAUGCAAUGCAACCCCGGGUACAGCCCGCACAGCACGCGGUUCUGCAACGGAAUGCAAUGCAAUGCAACCCCGGCCCGCACAGCACGCGGUUCUGCGGGGGGGGGACACAAUGCACCCCCAUACGGACACACGGGGACACAAUGCAAUGCAAUGCAAUGCAAUGCAACCCCGGGUACAGCCCGCACAGCACGCGGUUCUGCAAUGCAAUGCAAUGCAAUGCAAUGCAACCCCGGAUACAGCCCGCACAGCACGCGGUUCUGCAACGCAAUGCAAUGCAAUGCAAUGCAAUGCAACCCCGGGUACAGCCCGCACAGCACGCGGUUCUGCAAUGCAAUGCAAGGCAAUGCAAUGCAACCCCGGGUACAGCCCGCACAGCACGCGGUUCUGCAAUGCAAUGCAAUGCAAUGCAAUGCAAUGCAACCCCGGGUACAGCCCGCACAGCACGCGGUUCUACAACGCAAUACAACGCAAUGCAAUGCAAUGCAGUGCAAUGCAACCCCGGGUACAGCCCGCACAGCACGCGGUUCUGCAACGCAAUGCAAUGCAAUGCAAUGCAACCCCGGGUACAGCCCGCACAGCACGCGGUUCUGCAAUGCAAUGCAAUGCAAUGCAAUGCAACCCCGCACAGCACGCGGUUCUGCGGGGGGGGGGGGGGGACAUAAUGCACACCCAUAGAGACACACGGGGACACAAUGCAAUGCAAUGCAAUGCACCCCCAUACGGACAUGUGGGGACACAAUGCAAUGCAAUGCAAUGCACCCCCAUACGGACAUGUGGGGACACAAUGCAAUGCAAUGCAACCCCGCACAGCACGCGGUUCUGGGGGGGGGGGGGGGGGACACACAAUGCAAUGCAAUGCAAUGCAAUGCAAUGCAAUGCAACGCAAUGCAACCCCGCACAGCACGCGGUUCUGCGGGGGGGGGACAUAAUGCACCCCCAUACAGACACACGGGGGGACAUAGAGCUCCAUAGGGACACACAGAGGGACAGAGAGGGACAUAGGGGGACAUAGAGGUCCAUAGGGGGACAUGGAGGUCCAUAGGGGGACACAGGGGGACAGAGAGGGACAUAGGGGAACAUGGGGACAUAGAGCUCCAUAGGGGACAUAGAGAUCCAUACGGACACAGAGGGGGACAUAGAGGUCCAUAGGGGGACAUAGGGGGACAUAGGGACACAUAGGGGGACAUGGAGGUCCACAGGGGGACAUAGGGACACAUAGGGGGACACAGAGGUCCAUAGGGGGACAUAGGGGGACAUAGAGACACACAUGGGGGGACAGAGUGACCCAUUGGGACAUACACGGGGACAUAGAGGGACACAGAGGUCCAUAGGGACACACAGAGGGACAUAGAGGUCCAUAGGGGGACAUAGGGGGACACAUGGGGACAUAGAGCUCCAUAGGGACACAAAGGGGCACAUAGAGGUCCAUAGGGGGACAUAGGGGUCCAUAGGGACACACAGAGGGACAUAGAGGGACAUAGGGGGACAUAGGGGUCCAUAGGGACACACAGAGGGACAUAGGGGGACAUAGGGGGACAUAGAGCUCCAUAGGGACACACAGAGGGACAGAGAGGUCCAUAGCGACACAGAGGGGGACAUAGAGGGACAUAGGGGGACAUAGGGGGACAUAGGGGUCCAUAGGGACACACAGAGGGACAUAGGGGGACAUAGGGGGACAUAGAGCUCCAUAGGGACACACAGAGGGACAGAGAGGUCCAUAGCGACACAGAGGGGGACAUAGAGGGACAUAGGGGUCCAUACAGACACACAUGGGGACAGAGAGGUCCAUAGGGGGACAUAGGGGGACACAGAGGUCCAUAGGGACACAGAGGGACAUAGAGGGACACAUGGGGACAUAGGGGUCCAUAGGGACACAAAGGGGGACAGAGAGGUCCAUAGGGACGCAUGGGGACACAUGGAGAUCCACAGUGCCCCAUAGUGACACAUAGCGACACAUGGGACACAUGGGGUCACAUAGGGACACACGGGGACCCAUAGGGACCCAUAGGGAGCCAUAGGGAGCCAUAGGGACACAUAGGGACACAUAGGGACCCAUAGGGACCCAUAGGGAGCCAUAGGGACACACAGGGACCCAUAGGGACACAUAGGGACCCAUAGGGAGCCAUAGGGACACAUAGGGACCCAUAGGGACACAUAGGGACCCAUAGGGACCCAUAGAGAGCCAUAGGGACACAUAGGGACACGUAGGGAGCCAUAGGGACACGUAGGGAGCCAUAGGGACACAUAGGGACACAUAGGGACCCAUAGGGAGCCAUAGGGACACACAGGGACCCAUAGGGACACAUAGGGACCCAUAGGGAGCCAUAGGGACACAUAGGGACCCAUAGGGACACACAGGGACCCAUAGGGAGCCAUAGGGACACACAGGGACCCAUAGGGACACAUAGGGACCCAUAGGGACACACAGGGACCCAUAGGGAGCCAUAGGGACACACAGGGACCCAUAGGGACACAUAGGGACCCAUAGGGGCACAUAGCGACACACAGCACCCCAUAUAUCGCCACCUAUUGCCCCAUAUCCCCCAUAUAACGCCCCCUAUCGCCCCCUAUCCCCAUAUAUCGCCCCCAUCCCCAUAUAUCGCCCGCUAUGCCCAUAUAUCGCCCCUUUUGCCCCGUCUCCAUAUAUCACCCCCUAUGGCCCCCUAUCCCUAUAUACCGCCCCCUAUCCCCAUAUAUCGCCCCCUAUCGCCCCCUAUCCCCAUAUAUCGCCCCCUAUUACCCCCUAUCCCCAUAUAUUGCCCCCUAUCCCCCAUAUAUCGCCCCCUAUGGCCAUAUAUCGCCCCCUAUCCCUAUAUAUCGCCCCCUAUGGCCAUAUAUCGCCCCCUAUGGCCAUAUAUCGCCCCCUAUGGCCAUAUAUCACCCCCUAUCCCCAUAUACCGCCCCCUAUCCCACAUAUAUCACCCCCUAUGGCCCCCUAUCCCCAUAUAUUGCCCCCUAUGCCCCAUAUAUCGCCCCCUAUGGCCCCCUAUCCCUAUAUAUCGCCCCCUAUCCCCAUAUAUCGCCCCCUAUACCCCACAUAUCACCCCCUAUGGCCAUACACCGCCCCCUCUGGCCAUAUAUUGCCCCCUAUGGCCAUACAUCACCCCAUAUAUCGCCAUAUACCGCCCUCUAUUGCCAUAUAUCACCCCCUAUCCCCCAUAUAUCGCCCUCUAUCACCCCCUAUCCCCCAUAUAUUGCCCCCUAUGGCCCCAUAUCCCCAUAUAUCGCCCCCUCUUUCCAUAUAUCGCCCCCUAUCCCCCAUAUAUCACCCCCUAUCGCCCUCUAUCCCCCAUAUAUCACCCCCUAUGGCCAUAUAUCACCCCCUAUCCCCCAUAUAUCGCCCCCUAUGGCCAUAUAUCCCCCCUUUCGCCAUAUACCGCCCCCCUAUCGCCAUAUAUCGCCCCCUAUGGCCAUAUAUCCCCCCCUAUCCC